ACGAUACGUAGCCGACCUGAGAGGGUGAUCGGCCACACUGGAACUGAGACACGGUCCAGACUCCUACGGGAGGCAGCAGUAGGGAAUCUUCCGCAAUGGGCGAAAGCCUGACGGAGCAACGCCGCGUGAGUGAUGAAGGUCUUCGGAUCGUAAAGCUCUGUUGUUAGGGAAGAACAAAUGUGUAAGUAACUGUGCACAUCUUGACGGUACCUAACCAGAAAGCCACGGCUAACUACGUGCCAGCAGCCGCGGUAAUACGUAGGUGGCAAGCGUUAUCCGGAAUUAUUGGGCGUAAAGCGCGCGUAGGCGGUUUUUUAAGUCUGAUGUGAAAGCCCACGGCUCAACCGUGGAGGGUCAUUGGAAACUGGAAAACUUGAGUGCAGAAGAGGAAAGUGGAAUUCCAUGUGUAGCGGUGAAAUGCGCAGAGAUAUGGAGGAACACCAGUGGCGAAGGCGGCUUUCUGGUCUGUAACUGACGCUGAUGUGCGAAAGCGUGGGGAUCAAACAGGAUUAGAUACCCUGGUAGUCCACGCCGUAAACGAUGAGUGCUAAGUGUUAGGGGGUUUCCGCCCCUUAGUGCUGCAGCUAACGCAUUAAGCACUCCGCCUGGGGAGUACGGUCGCAAGACUGAAACUCAAAGGAAUUGACGGGGACCCGCACAAGCGGUGGAGCAUGUGGUUUAAUUCGAAGCAACGCGAAGAACCUUACCAAAUCUUGACAUCUUUUGACCGCUCUAGAGAUAGAGUUUUCCUCUUCGGAGGACAAAAUGACAGGUGGUGCAUGGUUGUCGUCAGCUCGUGUCGUGAGAUGUUGGGUUAAGUCCCGCAACGAGCGCAACCCUUGAGCUUAGUUGCCAUCAUUAAGUUGGGCACUCUAAGUUGACUGCCGGUGACAAACCGGAGGAAGGUGGGGAUGACGUCAAAUCAUCAUGCCCCUUAUGAUUUGGGCUACACACGUGCUACAAUGGACAAUACAAAGGGCAGCAAAACCGCGAGGUCAAGCAAAUCCCAUAAAGUUGUUCUCAGUUCGGAUUGUAGUCUGCAACUCGACUACAUGAAGCUGGAAUCGCUAGUAAUCGUAGAUCAGCAUGCUACGGUGAAUACGUUCCCGGGUCUUGUACACACCGCCCGUCACACCACGAGAGUUUGUAACACCCGAAGCCGGUGGAGUAACCAUUUGGAGCUAGCCGUCGAAGGUGGGACAAAUGAUUGGGGUGAAGUCGUAACAAGGUAGCCGUAUCGGAAGGUGCGGCUGGAUCACCUCCUUUCUAAGGA
This 1273-nucleotide ribosomal RNA is filed under the name Staphylococcus chromogenes. RNAcentral's name for it is "bacterial SSU rRNA". It matches the Rfam family "Bacterial small subunit ribosomal RNA", at positions 276 to 1533 of the family's 1533-position model. The record is from RNAcentral. Lineage: Bacteria; Bacillati; Bacillota; Bacilli; Caryophanales; Staphylococcaceae.